RNAcentral lists this unclassified non-coding RNA (3053 nucleotides) under Hevea brasiliensis (rubber tree). Lineage: Eukaryota; Viridiplantae; Streptophyta; Magnoliopsida; Malpighiales; Euphorbiaceae. The record is from RNAcentral.
GCCUGGCAGUUCCACGAGAGAGUGGAAAACAUACCUUUAUCUUCUUGCGUAGAUAAGAUGAAAUUAUAAUACCGACCAUUACAAAAUAAAAUCUCACAUCACAAAGCAAAUGCUCAGAGGGGCGAGAAGUGGUGGGUAAAACCCAGAUAAAACUACAACAAAGUUGGAUAAAGCAAACUUUCCUAACCAGUCUGCUAUUGAAUUUGCAUCUUUUGAACAUAAAUGCUCAAAUCAGAUGCAUUUCAAACUACCACAGGAAACUUCAAACCAAAAGAUGUGACCCUAACUACAUCAAAUGUACAAAGAGAACAACCUACUUAAAAAAUUUAUAGGUGACGUCUGAUGCAAAACUGGCCAUUCUUAUAUAUGGUAAUAUAAAUCCAUUAAUAUAUAGCAAUCAUGGCAGAGUACCAGAAUUCCCAUUCACACUUGCAGGUUGAGUGUUACUCUGGGUCUGAGGAACAUAAAAAUUCCUGCUGUUAGCAAGAAACGCCUGUAUAGGGGGUGGAAAACUAGGUAGCGAUGAGGUCACUGAAGGUGGUGGAGCUGGACCUGAAGCUGGUUGAGUAGGCUGAAUUAUCAAGUCACCAUAAGCGGCAGCUGCCUGACCAGAUAAGCUUCCACGCAUUCGUCCUGUUGGCCGCCAAUUCUGCUCUGAUGAUAAAUUCACAACACCAUCAGUUCCAGUAUUCACUUGUGCUGCUGCUCCUACAUUUCCUCUCUGCACCAUUGUUGGUGCCCUAGUCCCAUCAGUAUUCGAGUAUGAGAUCCCUCUGGAGGUUGGAAUUUGAACUGGCACUGAUGGUGGCUGUCUAGCCAUCUGGACUGCUAGUUGGGCAGCAGUUGUAAACCUAGUAUGUUGGCUAUUUGGAAAACCUGCAGUAUUGCCAGCCCCAACUUGUGCAACCCCUUGCUGGGUCUGACUCAGUGGAAGAGCUGGAGAUGAUCGACCUACACUUGGAGACGGACUCCUGGAUUGGGGCAUCCUAAGAGCUUGCUGCUGAUGUAAAUUCUGAGAUUCAUUCCGAAACCCAGAAGAUGCUCCAAUAGCACCUGGGCGUUGACUAGAAGUUGAAACACCAGCAGCCUGUUGGACUGAUUGUCCCAUAUUAAAUGAUAGAUCUGGAUGAUUCGGGUUCUGCAAGAAAUAUAGAACACAUGAAGAUGCAAGAGAGGAAAACUGAAUGGCUCAGGAAGCAGACAUGAAGAAAGCAUAUUGCCAAAAAGAUGAAAUCAAGUACACCAAGCUAGAAGGCAAGAUUCCAAUUAUGAACUGAAUUUAGAAGACAGGACAUCUAAUAAAGUUGGCCGAAGUUACAGAAAUCCCUACCGCUACUGACAAUGAUAAUAGCAACAACAUUAACUACAUGAGAACUGCAAGACACAACAAAACAAAGGAUAGCAGACUAACGAAAUAUAACCUGUGCUGUUGACUGAUGCUGCAAUGAGGGUGGAGUCCUAUCCAACACUUGAUGUGGAUUUGUACGGGAUCUCAGAUGUUGCUGCUGCCUGUCCAUCAUAUGAUUGGAACCCAUAUUGAAACCAUUUGAAGUUGGUGUUAUUGGCAGGGCAGCCUGAGAAGCAAUAGAGGACCCAUUAGGAAUUGUACUAUUCAAAUUAGUUCUUGGUCUUUGUUGUCGAAUUGAUGUUUGAGAUUGAACUGGGAGGGCCUGAACUGCUAUAGGAUUUCUGUUCACAUGUCUGGGUAUCUGCGUCAACCUCCCAUACUCAUUGUUUACAGCUGCAUUCACAAGUUGUGACUGUUGCAAAUUCCCAGAAGCAGAAAUUUGAUUUUGCAAUAAAGAAGUGAAGUUAUUAUUCCCUUGCACCAUAGCAUCACGGUUAAGAACAGGAGAAAUGGCAUCAGUUAUCCCAGAGGUGCCAUGAAUCAUUUGCAUCCCAGUAUUGGAAGUCCCAGAUCCAUGAUUUAAGUAAACAUCAGACCAAAAGUCAUCCUCUAGUCGACUAGCAACAUUUUGGUCAACCGCAUUUGGCAUGGUUAAGUUAGUGGCAACAGAUUGACUUAGAAGAGUAGCCUGAGAAGGUUUCUCAUCAUCAACAUCACUUGUGCUUACGACAUCCAUCCUAUUAUCAUCCUCUGUAAGAUCCAUAACAAUGGAAAGGUCAACUAAGGAAGUAGCAGGUCCUUGCUGUCCAGGUGUUUCUUUCUGGCAAUUAACAGUCUCUUCGCAUGUCUUAUCUGCAUUGUCAUCACUUUCCAUGAUAGCCUGCCAUGACCCAUCAGCAGAGAUGAUCACGUCAACAACAUUCUCUGCCACUUCUUUCAGAACCUAGCAACAAACACAAAUAUGUAAAGGAGGGAGGAAGAAAAAACAAGUGUUCAUUCUGGGGCAAAUCCAACUCCACAACUACUUGCCUUAACCAUGUUCUGAUCAACACGAAUAUCUGUGUAGCAGACAUGCUGAUUACAAUGUGGGCAACGCCAAGAUGGCCUUCUUGAAUUUAUAUCAACAAAGUUACUAAAAUCACAACACUGAAGAUGUUUGCAUGUAUGUCCUUUGACAGGAGUUCUGAUUCGCGUAUAGCUGUUUGAGGCGCACAGAAAGUCAAUCAACGGGAAAUGCUUAUUUUGGUUCAAAACACAAAAGGACAAAUGGAAGCAUCACGUCAUAAUAAAAUUACAUUUAAAUUGCCAAUUAUCAGCACUAGGACUGUUCUUUUCUAUUGAAAGGGAAACAAUCAAGCCUAUUUGUCAUAAUUUAACAAACAGAAACAUACAUUGUGCCCUUCCCUUAAAGGUUGAUUAAUUGGAAGAAAGUUCCUGCAACUGGAAGCAUCAGGUUAUCCAGUAACUUGAACAAUAUCAAAACUAAUAAGUUGCAGCAGAUCAAUAGUAAUAAUGUUUUUCUUUUUCUUUCCUUUUUUCACCUCUCCCCCUACAGAGAAUAAGCAAAUUGACUACGCAUCCAUUCAUAAAAGUCAAAAAAGCCUAAAGAGUAAUCAUAAUAAAAGAAUUUUGAAUAACCAGUACCAUGGAAUUACCUUAUGGGGCAAUUAAGUGAUACACGUGAUGGCCCCUCAAUUAUAUCAGA